GAUCCUGGAGUGUUAGCAUGUGUAGUUGCAGCCUACAAGAAACAGGUUAUGUCCUGUCGGGGUCU
Molecule: transfer RNA, 65 nt
Filed under: Kalophrynus palmatissimus
Lineage: Eukaryota; Metazoa; Chordata; Amphibia; Anura; Microhylidae
Description: tRNA-Cys
Source: RNAcentral